UUUUUGAAAAUAAUUUAAAGUCUAAUCUGCCCACUGAUAUUAUAUUGAAGGGCUGCAGUAUUUUGACUGUACAAAGGUAGCAUAAUCAUUAGUCUCUUAAUUGGUGACUUGUAUGAAGGAUUUGAUGAAAUAUAAACUGUCUCAUUUUAAUUUAUAGAAUUUAAUUUUUUAGUUAAAAAGCUAAAAUUUAAUUAAAAGACGAGAAGACCCUAUAGAGUUUAAUAAUUUAGUUAAUUAUUAUUUUAUAUAAAUAUUUUUUUAUUAAUUAAUUAAAUUAUUUUGUUGGGGUGAUAGAAAAAUUGAAUUAACUUUUUAUAUAAAUUAACAUUAAUUUAUGAAUAAAUGAUCCGUAAUUUACGAUUAUAAGAAAAAAUUACCUUAGGGAUAACAGCGUAAUUUUUUUUUUUAGUUCAAAUAAGAAAAAGAGUUUGCGACCUCGAUGUUGGAUUAAGAUAAAAUUUAAAUGCAAAAGUUUAAAAUUUUU
RNAcentral lists this ribosomal RNA (484 nucleotides) under Archon apollinaris bostanchii. RNAcentral's name for it is "partial 16S ribosomal RNA". Lineage: Eukaryota; Metazoa; Arthropoda; Insecta; Lepidoptera; Papilionidae. The record is from RNAcentral.